This 73-nucleotide transfer RNA is filed under the name Glyphis glyphis (speartooth shark). RNAcentral's name for it is "tRNA-Ile". It matches the Rfam family "tRNA". From Rfam's summary of the family: Transfer RNA (tRNA) molecules are approximately 80 nucleotides in length. Lineage: Eukaryota; Metazoa; Chordata; Chondrichthyes; Carcharhiniformes; Carcharhinidae. The record is from RNAcentral.
GGAAAUGUGCCUGAAUUAAAGGACCACUUUGAUAGAGUGGAUAAUGAGAGUUAAAACCUCUCCACUUCCUUCU